This 72-nucleotide transfer RNA is filed under the name Treponema sp. Its description in RNAcentral is "tRNA-Cys". It matches the Rfam family "tRNA". From Rfam's summary of the family: Transfer RNA (tRNA) molecules are approximately 80 nucleotides in length. The record is from RNAcentral. Lineage: Bacteria; Pseudomonadati; Spirochaetota; Spirochaetia; Treponematales; Treponemataceae. RNAcentral also lists the same sequence under 1 other name.
GGAGUCUUACCCAAGUGGUAAGGGGCAGGUCUGCAAAACCUCUAUGCAGCGGUUCGAUUCCGCUAGACUCCU